CUAUCAAUUACCUGGGUUUCUUGUUAAAAUGCAAAUUUUUAUCCUAUUGAGCUGGGAAAGGGCCUGGGAUUCUGCAUCUUUAACAAGCUCCAAGGUCAUGACUGA
This 105-nucleotide microRNA precursor is filed under the name Marmota monax (woodchuck). Lineage: Eukaryota; Metazoa; Chordata; Mammalia; Rodentia; Sciuridae. The record is from RNAcentral.